RNAcentral lists this long non-coding RNA (1303 nucleotides) under Fukomys damarensis (Damara mole-rat). RNAcentral describes it as "lncRNA (ENSFDAG00000025356.1)". Lineage: Eukaryota; Metazoa; Chordata; Mammalia; Rodentia; Bathyergidae. The record is from RNAcentral.
CAGGAUCACACCAGAGCUCCUUCACCAUCCUACCACGGCUCCCUGGAGCAGCUCAGUGCACCUGGGACCUGGGACACUCUACCCUGAUUAACUUAAUGCCCACUGAUUAGCAAGUUGGUUGCCAGUGUCCCAGCCCAUGACUCCCGCGGUGGAGAGGGAGUGUUAAAAGGUAUACAUCGCUGUGCACAAAGAUCUCUGGGCCCUACCUGCCAUAGUGUGUUUUUUGAUCCCAGACAAAUACCUCUGUCUCCCUCCCAUGAUUCCCAAGAGUCUCAUCCUACUGCCACAUCAUUUCCGUGUCCAAGAUCACUGUGCAAGAUGCCAUCAUGUAAACCACAGUCAUCACAGCUUCUCCCCAGCCGUGUGCAGUGGGAGUUGGGACUCUGGGGCACUACCCUAGCAGGCCUGUUACUAUGAGCAUGUAGCUAGGGCUUUAAAAAUGAAGUCAUUUUUGCCUGUGAUGUUCACAUCUUGGAAUAUUAGAUAAUUCCUGUUGUGCUGGGGCAGCCAAACAAACACCCAUCAUCUUCAUCUUCACAGGAUUACAUUUCCUGCUCCCUGCUCGCAGAGCUGUUCCUGAGAGUUGGAAUGGCACCGGCCCCAGCCUUGUCCAGACUCUCUGGGAGUGACCAAGCUGGUAGUGUGUGCUCCAAUCCAAGAUGAGGCUGCUGGAACUCCUGGGUCCCGAUGGAAAGUCCUGCCCUCCUCCCAGCACACAAGAGAAGGCCCGACUUUGCAGGUGUUUGGAAAUUGGGGUUAGGGUUAACUCUUUCCUCGCAUCAGUUUACACCUGCCUCCACCCAGAGGUACAGAAACCUAUCAAAAAGCAAAUAUUGCAUCGUCAUACAGAUCUGUGUUACCAUCUCCCGACACAGCGUAUUGGUUAAGCUGGAUUAUCAGCUUGAUUGGUUUAAGAGCAGCCUAGGGGAUUAGCAAGGCAAACUUCCUGGCAUGUCUGGGUGAGUCAUGGAAAUCUGACCUUGUCCCGUGUGACCUUGGGGACUGCAGUGGUACCUUGGUGCUCACCAUUAAUUGGCUCUGGGAAGUAUGAUAAGUACCGAACAAAUAGUUUUGGGUGGAAAAGGUAGCAAGUCACAAGGCAAUCAACACCAACAUGUUCUAGCUUUUGUGUGGAAUACCCCCCCACAAAUCACAUAAGGACGCAUCAAUACCAAAGCAGUUGAAAAGCAAAGUAGGACUGUAUAUCUGGCCUCUGGUUCUGCUCCCCAGCUGUGCUUUUUUGCCUCCAGGAAGUGAACACUUUUGCUCUGCCCACUCUUCAACCAUGCUAGUCCUCCCUGGG